This 460-nucleotide ribosomal RNA is filed under the name uncultured bacterium. RNAcentral's name for it is "partial 16S ribosomal RNA". It matches the Rfam family "Bacterial small subunit ribosomal RNA", at positions 338 to 795 of the family's 1533-position model. The record is from RNAcentral.
CCUACGGGUGGCAGCAGUGAGGAAUAUUGGUCAAUGGACGUAAGUCUGAACCAGCCAAGCCGCGUGCAGGAUGACGGCUCUAUGAGUUGUAAACCGCUUUUGUACGGGGGUAAAGGGAGGGACGUGUACCAGUCUGAAUGUACCGUAUGAAUAAGGAUCGGCUAACUCCGUGCCAGCAGCCGCGGUAAUACGGAGGAUUCAAGCGUUAUCCGGAUUUAUUGGGUUUAAAGGGUGCGUAGGCGGCCUUUUAAGUCAGCGGUGAAAGCCCGAGGCUCAACCUCGGAAUUGCCUUUGAAACUGGUGGGCUAGAGUGUGUUUGAGGCAGGCGGAAUGUGUGGUGUAGCGGUGAAAUGCUUAGAUAUCAUGCAGAACCCCGAUUGCGAAGGCAGCUUGCCAAGCUACUUCUGACGCUGAGGCACGAAAGCGUGGGGAUCAAACAGGAUUAGAUACCCCAGUAGUC